Molecule: ribosomal RNA, 245 nt
Filed under: uncultured bacterium
Lineage: Bacteria
Description: partial 16S ribosomal RNA
Rfam family: Bacterial small subunit ribosomal RNA
Source: RNAcentral
GACGAAGGGAGCGAGCGUUAUUCGGUUUCACUGGGCUUAGAGGGCGCGUAGGCGGUCUGGUGUGUCGGAUGUGAAAUCCCUGGGCUUAACUCAGGAAUUGCUUCCGAAACUGCCGGACUUGAGGCAUUUUGGGGCGACUGGAACUCUUGGUGGAGCGGUGACAUGCGUAGAUAUCAAGAGGAACGCCGGUGGUGAAGACGGGUCGCUGGAAAUGUCCUGACGCUGAGGCGCGAAAGCCAGGGGAG